Molecule: small nuclear RNA, 108 nt
Organism: Aotus nancymaae (Ma's night monkey)
Lineage: Eukaryota; Metazoa; Chordata; Mammalia; Primates; Aotidae
Source: Ensembl
GUGCUCGCUUCGGCAGCACAUAUACUAAAAAUUGGAACGUUACAGAGAAGAUCAGCAUGGCCCCUGUGCAAGGAUGACACGCAAAUUCAUGAAGGGUUCCAAAAAAAA